AACCACCAGUUGCACCAAAACCUACAUUCGUGAUCAAGCCAAGCCAAUUGCGUCUACUGAAUUUCACGGGUCAUCCAGCAGCAAAUGGCUCGUCUUUGCCAGCUACGCUGUAACCACCGGUUGCUCCUAAACCUACAACCGUGGUCAACAAAAGCGGUCCAGUAGUUUAUACGGAUGGUACAAUAGCGAAAGCACAAUUGGAAACCGAGCCACAAUACCAUAAGAACCAC
Long non-coding RNA from Anopheles coustani, 230 nucleotides. RefSeq lists it as uncharacterized. Lineage: Eukaryota; Metazoa; Arthropoda; Insecta; Diptera; Culicidae. The transcript has 3 exons. The record is from RefSeq and is a predicted model, not a curated record.